This 329-nucleotide ribosomal RNA is filed under the name uncultured eukaryote. Its description in RNAcentral is "partial 18S ribosomal RNA". It matches the Rfam family "Eukaryotic small subunit ribosomal RNA", at positions 1470 to 1796 of the family's 1831-position model. The record is from RNAcentral.
CCCUUAGAUGUUCUGGGCCGCACGCGCGCUACACUGAUGCAUUCAACGAGUCUAAAACCUGCUCUGAUAGGGGUGGGUAAUCUUUUGAAUGUGCAUCGUGAUUGGGAUAGAUGAUUGCAAUUUUUCAUCUUCAACGAGGAAUGCCUAGUAAGCGCAAGUCAUCAGCUUGCGUUGAUUACGUCCCUGCCCUUUGUACACACCGCCCGUCGCUCCUACCGAUUGAAUGGUCCGGUGAAGCGCUCGGACCGCGGCCUCUUGACGGUUCGCUGUCGAUUGGCUGUGGGAAGUUCGUUAAACCUUAUCAUUUAGAGGAAGGAGAAGUCGUGACA